RNAcentral lists this ribosomal RNA (413 nucleotides) under uncultured microorganism. RNAcentral describes it as "bacterial SSU rRNA". It matches the Rfam family "Archaeal small subunit ribosomal RNA", at positions 330 to 745 of the family's 1478-position model. The record is from RNAcentral.
GUGCAGCAGUCGCGAAACUUCACAAUGUGCGAAAGCACGAUGAGGGAAUCCCAAGUGCUUGCACGUAAGUGUAAGCUGUUUCUCUGUCUAAAACGCAGAGAGAGUAAGGGCUGGGUAAGACGGGUGCCAGCCGCCGCGGUAAUACCUGCAGCUCGAGUGGUGACCGUUAUUAUUGGGCCUAAAACGUCCGUAGCCGGUUUAAUAAAUGCCUGGGUAAAUCGGACCGCUUAACGGUUCGAAUUCCGGGUAGACUGUUAAACUUGAGACCGGGAGAAGUUAGAGGUACUCCUGGGGUAGAGGUGAAAUUCUGUAAUCCUAGGGGGACCACCAGUGGCGAAGGCGUCUAACUAGAACGGGUCUGACGGUGGGGGACGAAGCCCUGGGGCGCAAACGGGAUUAGAUACCCCCGUAGU